AGAGUUUGAUCAUGGCUCAGAUUGAACGCUGGCGGCGUGCCUAACACAUGCAAGUCGAGCGGUAACAGGCGUAGCAAUACGUGCUGACGAGCGGCGAACGGGUGAGUAACGCUUCGGAAUCUGCCCAAUGGUGGGGAAUAACCAGCCGAAAGGUUGGCUAAUACCGCAUGAGUGGAGGACGGGGAGUCGGCGAAGACCGU
This 200-nucleotide ribosomal RNA is filed under the name uncultured bacterium. Its description in RNAcentral is "partial 16S ribosomal RNA". It matches the Rfam family "Bacterial small subunit ribosomal RNA", at positions 8 to 209 of the family's 1533-position model. The record is from RNAcentral.